This 442-nucleotide ribosomal RNA is filed under the name uncultured bacterium. RNAcentral describes it as "bacterial SSU rRNA". It matches the Rfam family "Bacterial small subunit ribosomal RNA", at positions 29 to 452 of the family's 1533-position model. The record is from RNAcentral.
AACGAACGCUGGCGGCGUGCCUCAUACAUGCAAGUCGUACGCGAAUCCUGCCGCAAGGCAGGGUUUGAGUGGCAAACGGGUGCGUAACACGUAGGUAAUCUUCCUUUGAGUUGGGGAUAAACCCUCGAAAGGGGGUCUAAUACCGAAUAACACUUCUGGUUGGCAUCAACCGGAAAUUAAAGAUGGCCUCUGCUUGCAAGCUAUCGCUCGGAGAUGAGCCUGCGGCCGAUAGUUAGUUGGCGGGAUAAAAGCCCACCAAGACUUCGAUCGGUAGCCGGUCUGAGAGGAUGUCCGGCCACACUGGGACUGAGAUACGGGCCCAGACUCCUACGGGAGGCAGCAGUAGGGAAUAUUGCGCAAUGGCCGCAAGGCUGACGCAGCAACGCCGCGUGGGGGAUGGAAGGUUUUCGGAUCGUAAACCCCUGUCGAGAGGGAAGAAAGG